Molecule: long non-coding RNA, 374 nt
Filed under: Fukomys damarensis (Damara mole-rat)
Lineage: Eukaryota; Metazoa; Chordata; Mammalia; Rodentia; Bathyergidae
Description: lncRNA (ENSFDAG00000025518.1)
Source: RNAcentral
GUCUUGUCUUUUCUUUUUUUUUUUCCCCCUUAGAGAAAAAUGACAGAGAUCCACUCUCUAAGAAAUUACACUGUGUUCAAUGACUUCCCGUCAGGAGUAGGCAAUGUCCCGCAUCCUGCUAUUGCUUUUCAAGUCGUGUCUGCCGAAAACCACAUCUGGUUAGCCACCGCUCCACAGACACACAGUGAAAUACAAAGGUGAAUUCAGCAGUGUGCAGCAGCCACAGCUCUUUCCCCAGAGACUUCCAGACAGAGAGAAGUCAGUAGAUGAUCCUGGGGAGGAGAGGAGUGCCCAGGAGGACUGUUAGUCCUCGUGAACCCGGCAAAGAUAUGGAGUAAGAGUGAAUGGCGGCCCAGGGCGGGCUGAGAUGCUUU